Molecule: long non-coding RNA, 915 nt
Organism: Oncorhynchus kisutch (coho salmon)
Lineage: Eukaryota; Metazoa; Chordata; Actinopteri; Salmoniformes; Salmonidae
Exons: 2
Source: RefSeq, a predicted model, not a curated record
CACCCUGAGUUCUUUCCACCUACUAAGCAGGUAAAAUAAUAUCUAGAUUAAAACAAAGAGGUUCCAGCAGAGGUCGGUGCGCUCAGUUACUCGUUCAACACCUGUCAGAUGGUAAUGUGACAUCUGAGGUGUCAAACGUCUUCACGUGGUAUUGUUACUUUGAUACAAAUUGUUACUUUGUGUCAAAUCAGUAGUGAUUUGAAAAUUGCAUUGGGAGUGCCUGAGCUCAAUCAUCCCAUCACUACCCGUGGGCUUUUGUUGUGGCAGUUCACCUUAAGUUUGUGCUGUCUUCUAUGCUGUUUUUGGGAGAAGUCGUUUGGAAGCCAGGUUGUUAGUGUAGAGGAGAUUCGAAUGAACACAUCCACUCCAGACAUAAACCAAAAUGAGAAUACACAAGGACCUCUAUUCAGUGGCCAGAGAACAAAGGAAGAAGGGGACCACCCACAGCAAUCUCCCAGCAGGAGUCGUCCUUCCCCUCUUUUGCUCAUCUCACACCUGUAGUCUACAUCAAAGCUUCUCCUAUCAGCAACAAGCGUGGCAGGUUGAACCAAAGUGCGAGAGAACGAAUCAGCUGGGACCCGAUGAAGAUUAAAAAUGACUGUGGAUAAGUACUGGACUUCUGAAAUACUUUGUUUUGGAGAGUUCUCGGAAGACCAUUAGUUCCAGACAGUAUAUACACAUUCAUCUUAAAAUAGCUAGGUGGGACACAGGCCUCUGUCCAAUAAUCCCUGCCUUGACUCAUUCUGAAAUAUCAAGAAUAACGGUUUGAAUUUAGUCCCUCUAAUCCCCAUUACCUGUUUGUGACUGAUUCUGUAGCCUGUAUUAGUACAUCAUUUUGCCCUUACAAUCUCCAUGAUUCAUUCCUCCUGUAUAUCCAUUACUUCACCCUGGUUAUUACUAAAUAAGUCUUCUUUG